GUAUUCCGGCCCUGCUCCGACAGCGGGAGAGGAGGAAGUCGGGGGUGGACACCAUGAAUCGUCUAAUCCUACUGUUGCCUCAAGAGGUCGUCAGCAACCACCCACAAGGCGCCGGGGAGCACGCGGCGGUCGGGGACGUGGUUCAAGGGCCUCUGCCAGAACGGAUGAGGAGGAAUUAUCCGGUUUCUAUA
Bufo bufo (common toad) is the source of this 191-nucleotide long non-coding RNA. RefSeq lists it as uncharacterized. The transcript has 3 exons. The record is from RefSeq and is a predicted model, not a curated record. Lineage: Eukaryota; Metazoa; Chordata; Amphibia; Anura; Bufonidae.